RNAcentral lists this ribosomal RNA (122 nucleotides) under Diaphorina citri (Asian citrus psyllid). Lineage: Eukaryota; Metazoa; Arthropoda; Insecta; Hemiptera; Psyllidae. The record is from RNAcentral.
GUCAGCAGCGAUAGCACGUUGAAGGCACCAGUUCACAGUAGAUCACUAAAGUUAAGCAACUUUGGGAGUUGUUAGCAUCUGGAAGGGUGACCAUGCAUCUGGGCAAUCGCGUGCCACUGGUU